Long non-coding RNA from Uloborus diversus, 447 nucleotides. RefSeq lists it as uncharacterized. The record is from RefSeq and is a predicted model, not a curated record. Lineage: Eukaryota; Metazoa; Arthropoda; Arachnida; Araneae; Uloboridae. The transcript is spliced from 2 exons.
CGCUGUAACCCAUAAUCUUAGUGCGCAUCCAAGAACACUCAGUUUAAUAUAAGGUCUGAAUUGGACUGAUAGAUUUACUCUGCGUUUGUUUUUAUUCAGGUGAAAUACCGACGUGUUAAGAUUGAAGGCGCAAGAUGGCAUUGACUGCUGCACAAAAACUAGGAAUUUACUUACUGGGAUUUGGAGUUGCUUUUCUUAUUGGAUGUGCUAUUAUGUUCUACGCAACGAAUGCCCAAAUCAUGUGCAUCAUUUUAGUGAUUGGAUUCCUUUGUGGAGUCGCUGAUUUCAAUAGAGGCCAGUUAGCGCCAGCAGUUCAAGUAUAAACAUUUGUUCAAUCCCUGUAAUUCGAUCCAGGCAGAACACAUGGCAUUUUAGCCACACGCAGUGUUUACUGAUUUUAAACAGGAUUUUAAUAGUUUUUAAAUGACAAAUAAAAAUAUUUGACCA